This 1263-nucleotide long non-coding RNA is filed under the name Pongo abelii (Sumatran orangutan). RNAcentral describes it as "lincRNA". Lineage: Eukaryota; Metazoa; Chordata; Mammalia; Primates; Hominidae. The record is from RNAcentral.
AUUCAUUUAACAAAUACUUUGGAGUGUUUACCAUGUGCCAAGUGCUGUUCUAAUAGACAUAAGCUGUGAGGCUAUGCUUAUCUGAUUCUCACAGCAACUGCUUUCGAGAUAUGAAUUGGUAUACUCAUUCGACAGAUGAGGAAACUGAAUUCAUGUAGUGAGAAAGGAAGAGCUGGAAUUCAGGGUUAGUGGUUUCGCCUGCACUAAGCACUGAGCCACACUAGACGAGAAGGAAUGAGGAAGACAAAAGUGAGAAGGCACUCAGGAAAUAUUAGUUGCAUGAAUGAAGGCUGCAUUUUCAUUAGAACAACAUGCAGUUCAACCCCUUCAUGUUUCAAUGAGGGUUCAGAUACCCAGAGGGCUAUGUGAUCAUCCUGGAGCCCACUCUGCUAACAAUUAGCAGAACGGAAGCCUUAAUUUCCAGAAUCUAGUGAACUUGAUGAGUCAAGACCAUUGCAAUUGGAAAUCUGUUCUCCUCUGCUGCUGCAUCCCCCGCUUAAUACUCAAGCCAGAAACCAGGAAGGCUGUGGCUUGCCUUUUCACUUCUUGUGUCCUGUUUAAGAAAUAUCUGCUAUCCCAAGCAUCUGGCAUCUUUCUUGACAUACGUAGCAGUUGCUUUUUGACAGCUUGCUUCUGGAGUGAAUGAAUAAAUUAAUAAAUUUAUUCAUUUGAUAUUCAGUGACAUGUGAUAUUCAGUGAUCCAUUUUGCAGAUUGCAAACUCCUAGAGAAGGGCUCAACAGUGAGUGUUGAGGCUGCACAGAGGAGGAAGGUAGCACAAUGAUGGAAGGCUUCCUAAAGAGGCUCUUGAGUUUCUGCUUUCAAGUGACCCUCAGAAAUGCCCCCAUUCACUGCAGAGGUUCUGUUUCUCCUUGUUUUGUUCCGACUUUAUGGCAGAACUAGGUUAAUGAGUUAAUUACUAUGAGUUAUCACUUGGAUUUGAAGAACCAUCAUUUCUAGGCUUUGCUGCUCAGAGUGGGUUUGCCCUCAGGGGAAGCUAUCUAACCAGAGCCUAACCCACUAGGGUUUUAUCAGAACCUAACUGGCCUGAGGAAAAGAAAUAUUCAACUCCAGCAAGCUCCAGCCUUCCAAACGGAGGAGGAGAAAACCCAAAUCCAGCCCACUUCAGCUAUCUUGUCCCACAUAAAGGGGGAGUGGAAGAAACGUGAGAAGCAGGCAUGAAGUUCACAGUCCGGAGGUACAGACACAUCAGAGUUCAGUAUCUGAUGAAUUAGAUGCAAAAUCCUCAACAAAGUAUUAGCAAA